RNAcentral lists this transfer RNA (68 nucleotides) under marine eukaryotic metagenome. It matches the Rfam family "tRNA". Rfam says of the family: Transfer RNA (tRNA) molecules are approximately 80 nucleotides in length. Their secondary structure includes four short double-helical elements and three loops (D, anti-codon, and T loops). The record is from RNAcentral.
GCGGGGUGGCCAAGUGGUAAGGCAGGGGACUGCAAAUCCCCCAUCACGGGUUCGAUUCCCGUCCCCGC